UACGUAGGUGGCGAGCGGUGUCCGGAUUUACUGGGCGUAAAGAGCCCGCUGGCGGCUUGGCACGUCCUGGGGGAAAUCUCCCGGCUCAACUGGGAGGGUGCCUAGAAAACUAUCAGGCUUGAGGCAUGGAGAGGGAUGCGGAAUUCCCGGUGUAGCGGUGAAAUGCGUAGAUAUCUGGAGGAAUACCGGUGGCGAAGGCGGCAUCCUGGACCGACAUUGACGCUGAUGAGCGAAAGCUAGGGGAGCAAACGGG
Molecule: ribosomal RNA, 253 nt
Filed under: uncultured bacterium
Lineage: Bacteria
Description: partial 16S ribosomal RNA
Rfam family: Bacterial small subunit ribosomal RNA
Source: RNAcentral